UACGGGGGGAGCAAGCGUUGUUCGGAUUUACUGGGCGUAAAGGGCGCGUAGGCGGCGUGACAAGUCACUUGUGAAAUCUCCGGGCUUAACUCGGAACGGUCGAAGUGAUACUGUCGUGCUAGAGUACAGAAGGGGCAACUGGAAUUCUCGGUGUAGCGGUGAAAUGCGUAGAUAUCGAGAGGAACACCUGCGGCGAAGGCGGGUUGCUGGGCUGAUACUGACGCUGAGGCGCGAAAGCUAGGGGAGCGAACGGG
Molecule: ribosomal RNA, 254 nt
Filed under: uncultured bacterium
Lineage: Bacteria
Description: partial 16S ribosomal RNA
Rfam family: Bacterial small subunit ribosomal RNA
Source: RNAcentral